RNAcentral lists this ribosomal RNA (448 nucleotides) under uncultured bacterium. Its description in RNAcentral is "SSU rRNA". It matches the Rfam family "Bacterial small subunit ribosomal RNA", at positions 26 to 518 of the family's 1533-position model. The record is from RNAcentral.
AGAGCGAACGCUGGCGGCAGGCUUAACACAUGCAAGUCGAGCGGGCGUAGCAAUACGUCAGCGGCAGACGGGUGAGUAACGCGUGGGAACGUACCUUUUGGUUCGGAACAACACAGGGAAACUUGUGCUAAUACCGGAUAAGCCCUUACGGGGAAAGAUUUAUCGCCAAAAGAUCGGCCCGCGUCUGAUUAGCUAGUUGGUGAGGUAACGGCUCACCAAGGCGACGAUCAGUAGCUGGUCUGAGAGGAUGAUCAGCCACAUUGGGACUGAGACACGGCCCAAACUCCUACGGGAGGCAGCAGUGGGGAAUAUUGGACAAUGGGCGCAAGCCUGAUCCAGCCAUGCCGCGUGAGUGAUGAAGGCCCUAGGGUUGUAAAGCUCUUUUGUGCGGGAAGAUAAUGACGGUACCGCAAGAAUAACGCCCGGCUAACUUCGCGCCAGCAGCCGC